GGGUCAGUAGGUUGGUCGUGCCACCGGUACGUACUGGUCUCACUGAUUCCUCCUUCCUGAAGAACCGUAAUGCCAUUAAUUUGGUGUUGCGGGGAAACAGGACUGUUACUUUGAAAAAAUUAGAGUGUUUAAAGCAAGCUAACGCUUGAAUACAUUAGCAUGGAAUAAUGAAAUAGGACGAUCGAUCCUAUUUUGUUGGUUACUAGGAUUGACGUA
This 216-nucleotide ribosomal RNA is filed under the name Glomeromycotina sp. RNAcentral describes it as "partial small subunit ribosomal RNA". The stretch from base 40 to 216 matches the Rfam family "Eukaryotic small subunit ribosomal RNA", at positions 686 to 864 of the family's 1831-position model. Lineage: Eukaryota; Fungi; Glomeromycota. The record is from RNAcentral.